ACGGAGGGUGCAAGCGUUGUUCGGAAUUACUGGGCGUAAAGCGCGUGCAGGCGGCCCAUUAAGUCAGAUGUGAAAGCCCUUGGCUCAACCAAGGAACUGCAUUUGAAACUAGUAGGCUUGAGUACGGGAGAGGAGAGUGGAAUUCCCGGUGUAGAGGUGAAAUUCGUAGAUAUCGGGAAGAACACCGGUGGCGAAGGCGGCUCUCUGGACCGAUACUGACGCUGAGACGCGAAAGCGUGGGGAGCAAACAGG
This 252-nucleotide ribosomal RNA is filed under the name uncultured bacterium. RNAcentral's name for it is "partial 16S ribosomal RNA". It matches the Rfam family "Bacterial small subunit ribosomal RNA", at positions 525 to 776 of the family's 1533-position model. The record is from RNAcentral.